UACGAAAGGUGCAAGCGUUACUCGGAAUCACUGGGCGUAAAGCGCACGUAGGCGGACUUACAGGUCAAUUGUGAAAUACCUGGGCUCAACCCAGGAACUGCAGUUGAAACCGUUUGUCUUGAAUACUUGAGAGGGUGGGGGAAUACCUGGUGGAGAAGUGAAAUUCGUAGAGAUCAGGUGGAACACCGGAGGCGAAGGCGCCUGCCUGGCAAUGUAUUGACGCUGAGGUGCGAAAAUGCGGGGAGCAAACAGG
This 253-nucleotide ribosomal RNA is filed under the name uncultured bacterium. Its description in RNAcentral is "partial 16S ribosomal RNA". It matches the Rfam family "Bacterial small subunit ribosomal RNA", at positions 524 to 776 of the family's 1533-position model. The record is from RNAcentral.